Non-coding RNA from Trichonephila inaurata madagascariensis, 82 nucleotides. The record is from the annotation of a GenBank genome assembly. Lineage: Eukaryota; Metazoa; Arthropoda; Arachnida; Araneae; Nephilidae.
GGGGAUAUAGCUCAGAGUGGGGUAGAGCAUUCAACUGCAGAUCGAGAGGUCCUCGGUUCAAACCCGGGAGACCCUUUCUUCA